UCCUACGGGAGGCAGCAGUGGGGAAUUUUGGACAAUGGGCGAAAGCCUGAUCCAGCAAUGCCGCGUGUGGGAAGAAGGCCUUCGGGUUGUAAACCACUUUUGUACGGAACGAAACGGUCUGCUUUAAUACAGUGGGCUAAUGACGGUACCGUAAGAAUAAGCACCGGCUAACUACGUGCCAGCAGCCGCGGUAAUACGUAGGGUGCGAGCGUUAAUCGGAAUUACUGGGCGUAAAGCGUGCGCAGGCGGUUAUAUAAGACAGUUGUGAAAUCCCCGGGCUCAACCUGGGAAUUGCAUCUGUGACUGUAUAGCUAGAGUACGGUAGAGGGGGAUGGAAUUCCGCGUGUAGCAGUGAAAUGCGUAGAUAUGCGGAGGAACACCGAUGGCGAAGGCAAUCCCCUGGACCUGUACUGACGCUCAUGCACGAAAGCGUGGGGUGCAAACAGGAUUAGAUACCCUGGUAG
RNAcentral lists this ribosomal RNA (464 nucleotides) under uncultured bacterium. Its description in RNAcentral is "bacterial SSU rRNA". It matches the Rfam family "Bacterial small subunit ribosomal RNA", at positions 337 to 793 of the family's 1533-position model. The record is from RNAcentral.